AUCUCCUUGACGAUUUUCAGGUUGUCUGCUACCAGCUUUAUAAUUCCCAAUCACAGGAUCUAAAAAUAAGGCUGAUUACGCCAGCAGUUACUAUUUUUUUUCAAUCAUGUUCAUGUGUGAUUUUCUUGAUUGUCAUUUGUAACAUUCAUUUGUAAUAAACUCGUUUGUUUUUGAAUAAUAAUGACAUUGAAAUGAAUAUGCAUAUUGUUG
RNAcentral lists this long non-coding RNA (210 nucleotides) under Lathyrus oleraceus (garden pea). Its description in RNAcentral is "Pisum sativum (pea) long non-coding RNA (PSAT_LNC017189)". The record is from RNAcentral. Lineage: Eukaryota; Viridiplantae; Streptophyta; Magnoliopsida; Fabales; Fabaceae.